RNAcentral lists this ribosomal RNA (1383 nucleotides) under metagenome. RNAcentral's name for it is "bacterial SSU rRNA". It matches the Rfam family "Bacterial small subunit ribosomal RNA", at positions 140 to 1498 of the family's 1533-position model. The record is from RNAcentral.
GGGAUAACUCCGCGAAAGCGAAGCUAAUACCGAAUACGGUACCUCAGGGCAUCCUGAGGCAACCAAAGGUGGGGACCCUUCGGGGCCUGCCGCUUGUGGAGGGGCUCACGUCCCAUCAGCUAGUUGGUAGGGUAGUGGCCUACCAAGGCAUACGGGUAGCCGACCUGAGAGGGCGAUCGGCCACACUGGGACUGAGACACUGCCCAGACUCCUACGGGAGGCUGCAGUCGAGGAUCAUUCGCAAUGCGUGAAAGCGUGACGAUGCGACGCUGCGUGGAGGAUGAAGGCCUUCGGGUUGUAAACUCCUGUCAUGAGGGAAAAGACGUCCGGCGCCGAAUAAGCGCAGGACCCGAUGGUACCUCAAGAGGAAGCCACGGCUAACUCUGUGCCAGCAGCCGCGGUAAUACAGAGGUGGCAAGCGUUGUUCGGAUUUACUGGGCGUAAAGGGUGCGUAGGCUGUCGCUUAUGUCGGAUGUGAAAUCCCGGGGCUCAACCCCGGAACUGCAUUCGAAACUGAGGGACUUGAGGCUAGGAUGGGAGAGCGGAAUUCUUGGUGUAGCGGUGAAAUGCGUUGAGAUCAAGAAGAACACCGGUGGCGAAGGCGGCUCUCUGGAAUAGUCCUGACGCUGAGGCACGAAAGCUGGGGGAGCAAACAGGAUUAGAUACCCUGGUAGUCCCAGCCGUAAACGGUGCGCACUUGGUGUUGGCGGUAUUGACCCCGCCAGUGCCGGAGCUAACGCGUUAAGUGCGCCGCCUGGGGAGUACGGUCGCAAGAUUAAAACUCAAAGAAAUUGACGGGGGCCCGCACAAGCGGAGGAGCAUGUGGCUUAAUUCGAUGCAACGCGAAGAACCUUACCUGGGCUUGACAUCGGGGAGGCUUGCCUCCAGGGCGUGGAAGCGCCCGAACCAGACAGGUGCUGCAUGGCUGUCGUCAGUUCGUGCCGUGAGGUGUUGGGUUAAGUCCCGCAACGAACGCAACCCCUGUGUCUAGUUGCUAACGCCGCGCAAGCGGUGUGCACUCUAAACAGACUGCCCGUACAAGCGGGAGGAAGGUGGGGAUGACGUCAAGUCAGUAUGGCCCUUACGCCCAGGGCUGCACACGUGCUACAAUGGCCGGUACAGAGGGACGCUAGACCGCGAGGUGGAGCCAAUCCCAUAAAACCGGCCCCAGUUCGGAUUGCAGUCUGCAACUCGACUGCAUGAAGUUGGAUUCGCUAGUAACGGCGCAUCAGCUACGGCGCCGUGAAUACGUUCCCGGGCCUUGUACACACCGCCCGUCACAUCAUGAAAGCCGUCUGCACCCGAAGUCACUGAGCCAAUCCCUCACGGGAAGGCAGGUGCCGAAGGUGUGGGUGGUGAUUGGAAUGAAGUCGUAACAAGGUA